RNAcentral lists this ribosomal RNA (252 nucleotides) under uncultured bacterium. RNAcentral's name for it is "partial 16S ribosomal RNA". It matches the Rfam family "Bacterial small subunit ribosomal RNA", at positions 524 to 776 of the family's 1533-position model. The record is from RNAcentral.
UACGUAGGUGGCGAGCGUUGUCCGGAUUUAUUGGGUUUAAAGGGUGCGUAGGCGGGAUGCCAAGUCAGCGGUAAAAAUGCGGUGCUCAACGCCGUCGAGCCGUUGAAACUGGCGUUCUUGAGUGGGCGAGAAGUAUGCGGAAUGCGUGGUGUAGCGGUGAAAUGCAUAGAUAUCACGCAGAACUCCGAUUGCGAAGGCAGCAUGCCGGCGCCCUACUGACGCUGAGGCACGAAAGCGUGGGUAUCGAACAGG